RNAcentral lists this microRNA precursor (205 nucleotides) under Oryza glumipatula. Its description in RNAcentral is "MIR812 microRNA precursor family". It matches the Rfam family "MIR812 microRNA precursor family". Lineage: Eukaryota; Viridiplantae; Streptophyta; Magnoliopsida; Poales; Poaceae. The record is from Rfam by way of RNAcentral.
AAUAGAUGACGCCAUUGACUUUUUUUUCACAUGUUUGACCAUUCGUCUUAUUCAGAAAAUUUACGUAAUUAUAAUUUAUUUUGCUAUGAGUUGUUUUAUCACUCAUAAUACUUUAAGUGUGAUUUAUAUCUUAUACAUUCGUAUAAAAUUUUUGAAUAAGACGAAUGGUCAAACAUGUAAGAAAAAGUCAACGGCGUCAUCUAUU